This 74-nucleotide transfer RNA is filed under the name Amygdalobacter indicium. Its description in RNAcentral is "Oscillospiraceae bacterium UPII 610-J tRNA-Arg". It matches the Rfam family "tRNA". Rfam says of the family: Transfer RNA (tRNA) molecules are approximately 80 nucleotides in length. Their secondary structure includes four short double-helical elements and three loops (D, anti-codon, and T loops). Lineage: Bacteria; Bacillati; Bacillota; Clostridia; Eubacteriales; Oscillospiraceae. The record is from RNAcentral.
GGGCUCAUAGCUCAGGUGGAUAGAGCAACAGCCUUCUAAGCUGUGGGUCAGGGGUUCGAAUCCCUUUGGGCUCA